GAACGGCGCCACCAAGUGUGGGUCUUUCAGAGGACGACUACAGCUGAGGGUUUCUGUGGUGGGACUCUAAUCAAUAAGAACUGGGUGUUGACUGCAGGACACUGUUACAAUAAAAGCAUUGCUGGACGUUUUUCAGUCUGGGCAGGUGUACAUCCUUAUAGAGAAUUCCAAAAGUUUGCCAUUAAGUCAGGUGACAUCCAUGUAUAUGAUGUCACUGAGGAUACAGGUGACAUCAUGCUGAUCAAACUUCCUGGAUCUGUAAGCUGCAGCUUGCUGGUCAUGGAUCUACUGUUGACCAAAAUGACAGUCCUGACCGCAACAAACCUCUGCAGUGUGUCGAGCUGAAAGUGAGACACUGUAUUGAUCGCAGGGAAAACUAUUUCUGUGGUGAAGGUCGGACUGGUAAACACGUCAGCCAUGUCUCCGAGGGGGACUCUGGUGGAGGCUGGCUGAAGAAGAAGCGGAGAAAGGACGCGAUCUAUGGAGUUCUCCAUGGUUUCUUUGAAGCUAGAACUAAAAUUGCUGUAUUCACAAGUGUGUGUUCUGAUCAUAUAAUGAAGUGGAUUAAUCACAUCAUGAAAA
Electrophorus electricus (electric eel) is the source of this 582-nucleotide long non-coding RNA. RefSeq lists it as uncharacterized. NCBI's taxonomy places the organism in Eukaryota, Metazoa, Chordata, Actinopteri, Gymnotiformes, Gymnotidae. The record is from RefSeq and is a predicted model, not a curated record.